GUUGACUUGUCACAACCCUUGUCUGUGGAGCAUUUAGGCACUUAUCGGCGUAUCUCGAGUGCGUAAAGUCGUUAACAUUAGCAAAUCGCCACCCAAAGGCAGCAAAUGCAUUUUGCAUUGAUUUUGAAAAGAAGAAGCUAAAAAGCCACUACAAACGUUUGAAAAGUGCUGAGUGAAAGAGCAGCGAAGAGCUUACAUGCUAUUUGUGGAUAUACAGAGAAUCGAACGCCAGCAGUAUAUGCUUUUCUGGUGCGCAUAGAAGCGUUGAAGAGUGUAAAGCAGUCACUACCAGUAGGAAGGAAUAAACGAAGCAACAAAGCGGACAGCAGCCACAAAGCCAACUGAAGCCGCAGGCGAGCAGCGUUGAUUGUUUGUAGUAGUGCAGUAAAUAUAAAACAACUAGUUUUGAAAAAAGAAAAAAUUAAAAGUGAAUGAAACAUUGUUGCCAGCGACAGCAAGCACAAACAACAAAAAAAGUACUUAGUCAACACCAUAACUACUCCCUUGCGUUGAGUGUGUGUGUGUGUGGGGAAAAGCCGGAAGCAAAGCACUUGAAAGCAAGACAUUCAAAUCAGCACCCACAAUGGCAAUAACAACAACAGUAACAACAGCGGCAACAAAAUAAUAUGCUGUAGCAAGUUUCAGGCGGCUACAAUAAUAACAACAGUAACAAAAAGCACGCUCCCACACAAUCAAUUGUUGUGCUUAAAUAGCGGUGUGCCUAUGUUGCCAAUGCCUUAACGGUUACUGAUGCCUCUGACUCUGCGGCUGCUGCUGACAGUGACAGUGAAUGAGAAAGGCGCAAAAAUAAAGUGGCAUAAAUAAAGUUGAGUGCUCACAAUGGAGCGAAAAUAAAGCAUUUAACAAGUGCAACAACAAAAAGCGACAGCCAAAGCAAAAAAAAAAAAAACAAAAAAACAAGAAGAAGACAGAAUUAUGUAAAAAUGUGUCGUGUGUCGGUUUUUUGCUGACAGCAAAAGAAAUUAACACAAAAGGCUGGACAAAUCAAGUUGAGCGUGGCUGCUGUGGGCACUGAGCUUCGGUUUUAGUAAAGCGUAAGUCUCUUAAGCACAGCAGCAGAACAUCCGAACAGCCUGGCACACAUAACCAACGACUCUAAGGACCCCUUGUCAUUUGGUUGUGCCCUGCCAUUGUGAAAUGAAUCAAUUUAAAUGCUAAAGUGUCGCUAAAGAAAGUAAAGAACAUUAAAGAAUAAGAGCAAAAAUAAAAUAAAUAAAAAAAUCUCUGUGAAAGAUAUUGAGCAUAAACGAGCUGUGGGGCGGUCACUAGCGAUUGCCGGACAGCAAGAAUGCCAGAUUUUGAUUAUCAACUUAAUUUUCGGACAUGAGACAAGCCUAAACUGAUGUAUCAGCAUAAAUGACAUAAAUGAUAUUAGACCUGAAGGCACUGAAUAGAUGUCACAGCCUGUGGUGGCAUGAACGAAGACAGCUAAACAAUGUUGAGUACGAAAAUAAUGGCGCUCAUGAUUAAUAAUUUGACACAUUUAAUAUACUCAAGGCACGCAGACUGCUAAAGCGAGGCGCAUAUUUUAGUACAGCUGCCAUUAAAUAAAAUAUAAAGUGCGCACGUGACAAAAAUUACGAACAAGACUUUAAGAUGGUGGCAUUGUAAAUAAGAAAUACCAACAAUUUAAAGAAAACUUUGCAUAAACUUGAUGAAAAUUUUAUAAUAUAAAAGACUAAAGCGCUAAUUGAAAGCUACAAUAAACUAACGCUGAAAAGUAUGCAAUAAAAAUACUUAAAAAUAAAUAUAUACAAAAGUGAAUAUCAAAGCAUACUUUCUGGUGCACGUAUAAAAGCGUCACAUUGUCGUCGCCUACUCCACACGGGACGCUUAAAGAGCAUGGUUUUGGACACGCAACGCUGCUGACGCUGUCGAACUCAUAAAAAACGGCAUACUUUAAGGCGCUUGCUGUUAACUAUAUCCAUAAAUGCACCUGCCUUACAGUUAGCAUCAUAUAUCUAUUUACAAACUACAUAUACACAAUGCGUCAACAACAACAUUCAUUCGAACGCCUUUUACUGCCACUCACACUCAUCGUGCUGGUCUCUUGCCGCUUAGCGCUCACCUGCCCAGCCACAGUUUGCACCUGCAAGUGGAAAGGUGGCAAGCAGACGGUGGAGUGUGGUGGUAAUCAGUUGCCUAACAUACCCGAAGGUAUGGAUCCCGGCACACAGGUACUCAACUUCUCAGGCAACAGCCUGCAAGUCUUGCAAAGUGAGCGUUUCCUGCGCAUGGAUCUGCUGAAUUUACAAAAAAUUUACUUAUCACGCAACCAACUGAUACGCAUACACGAGAAGGCCUUUCGUGGCCUGACAAAUCUCGUCGAAUUGGAUUUGUCAGAUAAUUCAUUGCAAAAUGUACCCACCGAAACAUUUCAGGACUACAGCUCGCUAAUGCGGCUAUCUCUAAGCGGCAAUCCGAUACGCGAGCUGAAGACGUCGGCGUUUCGACAUCUCUCCUUUCUCACGACACUCGAAUUAAGCCACUGUCAAAUUGAGCGUAUUGAGAAUGAGGCCUUCAUUGGCAUGGACAAUCUGGAGUGGUUGCGUUUGGAUGGGAAUCGCAUCGGUUUCAUACAGGGCCAGCACAUACUGCCGAAAUCAUUGCAUGGCAUUAGCUUGCAGAGUAAUCGCUGGAUGUGCGACUGCAGGCUGUUGGACAUGCAUUCGUGGCUCAAUAACUAUGUAACGCCACAAGUUGAGGAGCCCAAGUGUGUGGAGCCGCCACGGCUAAAGGGACAAACGAUCAAGUCGUUGAAAAAGGAAGAACUCGCUUGCCUUCCUGAGGUGACUCCCUCUUCAACAUACACGGAGAUCUCCGAAGGUCGCAAUGUAUCAAUUGUGUGUGUGGUACGCGCCAUACCUGAGCCGCAAGUGCUGUGGCUCUUCAACGGUCAGGUGAUGACCAACGAUAGCCUCAUUGAUAAUCUGCAUAUGUACUAUUACAUCGAUGAGACUGGCAGCGCGGAGGAGAAGCGCAGCGAGAUAUUUAUUUACAAUGUGGGCGCCGAAGAUAACGGCACCUUCUCAUGUGUGGGGAAGAACGUCGCCGGCAUUACAUUCAGCAACUACACACUGCGCGUCAUUAUCAAGGAACCACCAGUGGUAAACGAGGUCUCUUUUCCACGCGACUACAUGAACUAUAUCAUUGCCAGUAGCACCGGCGCCGGUGUCAUAUUCGUGGUAAUGCUCUGCACCAUAGUUAUAAAGUGCAAACAGCGCCAGCCGAAUAAGCGUAAGAAGUGCGGUGGCGGUGGCUCAGUUACAAAUAUCGGAGGUGGUGGUGCACAUGCCUCAGAUAACGGCGGCAACGAGACGGGCUUAAUGAAAUGUUCGUCAAUACUCAAUGAUGGUGACUCGCUGAAUGGUGGAGCUGGGCUGUUGAUGGCCGAAGGCAUGACUCCCACUAAAUUGUGUAAAGAAAAUGGCAGCGUCAUUAUGGGCGGACAAAUGAAACAGAAUUUAUUGCUGUACGCGCCCGCGCACUACCAACAGCAAACACCCACAUCGGCAGCUGUGAUCGCUGAUGGCGGUCAAGCACUGCAGUUGAGCGUUAGCAUGGCAGGCGCGAGCGGCACACCGCCACCGCUACUAGUCGGCAACGCCAUCAGCUACUGUUCGCCACCGUCGUCGGUGCGUAAUUACCAAGAGAAAAAUCCCGACUUGGUUAAUGAUGCCGAGAGCGUUAAUCAUGGCAAGCUCAAAGCCACUGCAUCACUGGAUAUAGACUACGAUGCCGCCAGCGACUGUUCGGGUCCAUGCAGUAUACAAGGAAUGUCAACGACGCCGGUGCAGUUCGACAACUGCUAUCAACUGGCGCCACAAUAUGGCUCGCAAAUCAUACGACCGACGAAUAUGCAGAUGAACUCAGCGGCUGCUUCGCGCUUUGCCGCCAUGACAACGCUGCCGCGCGGUAUGCAACUUAAAACCGUAAUGAAUAGCAUGAGCGCCGCACCCGCGCCACAACACCAAGUGGAUGUGCAUCUGAACCCCGUGUGUUUUCUAGGACAAGACGGCUUUGCAUAUGACUAUAGCAACGCGCAUAUGCAGCAACCGGCACCAGCGCCACCCUCACAUCAUCACCUGCAACUACAGCCACAACUCUCACUGGGCGCCGAUCCAUCACAGUCGCAGCACAUACAACAGCAGAACUACUAUCGCACUUUGCCACACAAUCGCGCGCAUAAACAGCAGCAAUUUGCCGCCUCCGCCGCAAACUCUGGCAUGCGCUAUAGCUUAGAGGCUGAGUUUUUGCAGCGAUCCGGCACGCCAACGUACGAAAAGUACUUGCCCAAUGUGCGCUUCACCGCCGAGGGCUACCCGCAGACCCAGCAGCCGCACAUAGUGCAAUACCCAUCUCCACCAGAGGGUUACAAGAGCAGCCAAAGCCCUGCGCCUAGCAUGCAAGAAAGCAGCGCAAGUGGCGGCGGUGGUGUUGCCGGCGCUGGUGGCGCAUCAACAAUUUCAACUGCGAAAUUUCAACAGUGGCCGCCUUGUUUGCCCGGCUAUCAUGUGCAGUCCAUACGCUAUCCACCAACAAUUGUAGGCGUAUUAAGUCCACAGGGGCAUAUGCAGCAACAACAACAACAGCAGCAGCAGCAACAUAUGAUGCCACAUAAGUCGACUCCAACGGUUGUACUCACACCAAAUGGUCCAACAAAUCAAAUACAAGUGCCCACAAUAGCAACAACAACAACAACGGCAACAGCAAGCACCAGCACCGGCGGCACAUCCACAUCUAGCUCAGCAAUAAAACGCUGCGUCGCCGCACAAGCAGACUCCUCCACCAUUCCCGAAUGCGAUGAGAAUGACGUCUCGCCCACCACGUCCACCGCUGCGAGUAGUAGCAAUGAUGGCGGCAGCAGUAGUAGCAGCAGCAGCGCAACCACAGUUACAAUGUCUGCCAGCAACACAACGGCAACAACAGCAACAGCAGCAGCGUCUGCAACCGAAGAAUCCUCGAAACUGCGGCAUUUAAACGGGCCACUAGCCGACAGUCCGGACGAAGGUUACGUGGGCGAUUCGCAUGAAGGCUCUGAUAUUUGACGACGCGGCGCCUUAGGGAACGCCUGUGCAGCGGCAAAUGCAAAACACAGCAGAAGCGGUGGAAGUGGGGGUGUAAGUGGUUGUAAUGCGGUUAAAAUGGACGAUUCGGUGGCAUUGUAGAGUAGCUGCGGCUAUGCGAAGAUACAUUUCAGAAAAGCGCCUGUAAAACGAAAAAUGCAAUGUUGGAGAUUAGUAUACUUUAAAAUAUUUCGCUAGAAAUAUAAAGAGCGUCUGUGCAUAACUAUUUUAAUUUUUUGUCAUUUUACUAAAAU
Molecule: unclassified non-coding RNA, 5341 nt
Filed under: Ceratitis capitata (Mediterranean fruit fly)
Lineage: Eukaryota; Metazoa; Arthropoda; Insecta; Diptera; Tephritidae
Description: uncharacterized LOC101454901, transcript variant X2
Source: RNAcentral